AGAGUUUGAUCCUGGCUCAGGACGAACGCUGGCGGCGUGCCUAACACAUGCAAGUCGAACGGGGUAAUUACUUCGGUGAUUACUUAGUGGCGAACGGGUGAGUAACGCGUGAGAAACCUGCCUUUCAGUGGGGGACAACAGUUGGAAACGACUGCUAAUACCGCAUAAUGUUAUUUGGGGGCAUCCUCGAAUAACCAAAGAUUUAUUGCUGAAAGAUGGUCUCGCGUCUGAUUAGCUAGAUGGCGGGGUAACGGCCCACCAUGGCGACGAUCAGUAGCCGGUCUGAGAGGAUGAACGGCCACAUUGGGACUGAGAUACGGCCCAGACUCCUACGGGAGGCAGCAGUGGGGAAUAUUGGGCAAUGGGCGAAAGCCUGACCCAGCAACGCCGCGUGAAGGAAGAAGGCCUUCGGGUUGUAAACUUCUUUUACCAGGGACGAAUUUUGACGGUACCUGGAGAAAAAGCAACGGCUAACUACGUGCCAGCAGCCGCGGUAAUACGUAGGUUGCAAGCGUUGUCCGGAUUUACUGGGUGUAAAGGGCGUGUAGGCGGAGAUGCAAGUUGGGAGUGAAAUCCCGGGGCUCAGCCCCGGAACUGCUUUCAAAACUGUAUCCCUUGAGUGUCGGAGAGGCAAGCGGAAUUCCUAGUGUAGCGGUGAAAUGCGUAGAUAUUAGGAGGAACACCAGCGGCGAAGGCGGCUUGCUGGACGAUAACUGACGCUGAGGCGCGAAAGCGUGGGGAGCAAACAGGAUAAGAUACCCUGGUAGUCCACGCUGUAAACGAAGAAUACUAGGUGUGGGAGGAUGGACCCCUUCCUUGCCUGAGUCUCCCCAAUAACCCUUCCCCCUGGGGAAAUACGGGCUGCGGGGUUAAAUUUCAAAUAUAUUGAGGGGGGCCCGCACCGGCAAUGGAAGAUGGGGGUUUAUUUCGACCCCCCCCCAAAACCCCAACCCGGGU
RNAcentral lists this ribosomal RNA (957 nucleotides) under uncultured bacterium. RNAcentral describes it as "bacterial SSU rRNA". It matches the Rfam family "Bacterial small subunit ribosomal RNA", at positions 8 to 980 of the family's 1533-position model. The record is from RNAcentral.